UAGGCCUAACACAUGCAAGUCAGGGGCAGCAUAGAGUAGCAAUACUUGAUGGCGACCGGCGCACGGGUGAGUAACACGUAUGCAACCUACCUACAGUCAAGGGGGAAUAACCCGGAGAAAUUCGGACUAAUACCGCAUAAGUACAGGGAUGCCGCAUGGCAAUAUUUGUUAAAGAUUUAUCGGAUGUAGAUGGGCAUGCGUUCCAUUAGCUGGUUGGUAAGGUAACGGCUUACCAAGGCAACGAUGGAUAGGGGAACUGAGAGGUUUGUCCCCCACACUGGAACUGAGACACGGACCAGACUCCUACGGGAGGCAGCAGUGAGGAAUAUUGGUCAAUGGACGAGAGUCUGAACCAGCCAAAUCGCGUGAAAAGGAAGACUGCCCUACGGGUUGUAAACUUCUUUUGUACAGGAAUAAAAGACAUUACGUGUAAUGUAUUGCAUGUACUGUACGAAUAAGCAUCGGCUAACUCCGUGCCAGCCGCCGC
Molecule: ribosomal RNA, 487 nt
Filed under: uncultured bacterium
Lineage: Bacteria
Description: bacterial SSU rRNA
Rfam family: Bacterial small subunit ribosomal RNA
Source: RNAcentral